GGCCCUACGGGAGGCAGCAGUGGGGAAUAUUGCACAAUGGGGGAAACCCUGAUGCAGCAACGCCGCGUGAGCGAAGAAGUAUUUCGGUAUGUAAAGCUCUAUCAGCAGGGAAGAAGAAAGACGGUACCUGACUAAGAAGCCCCGGCUAACUACGUGCCAGCAGCCGCGGUAAUACGUAGGGGGCAAGCGUUAUCCGGAUUUACUGGGUGUAAAGGGAGCGUAGACGGCUGUGCAAGCCUGAAGUGAAAGCCCGUGGCUCAACCGCGGAAAUGCUGGAAACUGCAGAGCGUGAGUACUGGAGAGUG
This 305-nucleotide ribosomal RNA is filed under the name uncultured bacterium. RNAcentral's name for it is "bacterial SSU rRNA". It matches the Rfam family "Bacterial small subunit ribosomal RNA", at positions 334 to 658 of the family's 1533-position model. The record is from RNAcentral.